This 203-nucleotide ribosomal RNA is filed under the name Staphylococcus aureus. Its description in RNAcentral is "partial 23S ribosomal RNA". It matches the Rfam family "Bacterial large subunit ribosomal RNA", at positions 2719 to 2925 of the family's 2925-position model. Lineage: Bacteria; Bacillati; Bacillota; Bacilli; Caryophanales; Staphylococcaceae. The record is from RNAcentral.
AGUUGACAUGUAAACGUCACGACUGGAUAGCUAUGUGUGGACGGGGAUAAGUGCUGAAAGCAUCUAAGCAUGAAGCCCCCCCUCAAGAUGAGAUUUCCCAACUUCGGUUAUAAGAUCCCUCAAAGAUGAUGAGGUUAAUAGGUUCGAGGUGGAAGCAUGGUGACAUGUGGAGCUGACGAAUACUAAUCGAUCGAAGACUUAAU